Molecule: long non-coding RNA, 476 nt
Organism: Pistacia vera
Lineage: Eukaryota; Viridiplantae; Streptophyta; Magnoliopsida; Sapindales; Anacardiaceae
Exons: 2
Source: RefSeq, a predicted model, not a curated record
AUGGGACUAAUGAAAAAUAGACUCUAAGUAUCUCUUCCCACGUGGCAGAUAAUUAAUGGUUUUUUAUAUUUGAACUCAUCCUACGAGAAUAAUCCUUAGAACACCUGAUUAUUAAUAUAAAGUCAACAUUCAUUAUUCUCAUUCAUCAAAUUCUUAGAUCCACCAUAAACUGCCGUUAAACUCUUCGUCGCACCGCUGAAAAGGAUGCCGUCAGGCCGUUGAGACAAAUGAAGGAUGCAUUGGGUAUUGGUUUGGUGAUAAUGCUAGCGAUGAGAUGAAGCAACUCUAAACGUCUCUAUGAGGUAUGUUUUGUUAUUGUUGGCUAGCCUAAUUGUUGUUAGUUAUGAUUUUCUUUCAUAACUAGCAAACUCUAUAACAAUUACAGAGGAUAAAAAAUCCAAUAAUAUAUUAAUUUAUUGUCUCUACGUAGAACUUGUUAUAUGGGUUGAAUCCAACAACUUCACAUUAUUAUAUAA